RNAcentral lists this long non-coding RNA (713 nucleotides) under Mustela putorius furo (domestic ferret). RNAcentral describes it as "lncRNA (ENSMPUG00000030574.1)". Lineage: Eukaryota; Metazoa; Chordata; Mammalia; Carnivora; Mustelidae. The record is from RNAcentral.
CCCCCCCACCCUGCAGGUCACUGUGGCUGGGAGCUCCAGGAGGACAAUGGGACCUUGGGGCAGUGACAGGAUGGCUAGGACAAUGACAGUGACUGAGCUUGGACAUGGAGCCUCUGCCAUCCAUGGUAGUCUCCAUGGGCGGGAGUCCAGUGGGCACUUCGUGGAGGGAUGAGAUGGACUCAAGAAGACAUGUUUCCUGUCGUUGCAGAGACACUUGAGGUUUGGGACAAGAACAUCAGCCGCACUGAGUCUCCCAGAACACACGUGACCCACCCCCAACCCCCUGACUAUGGGGUCACCCUGAGGGGCUGUGUGCUCUGGGUUCCUGUCUUGUGGAGAUGACUGUGACCUGUCAAUAAACCAGGGAGCACCAGAUCUAGUACAAGGAGCUUAUGGAGACCAGGCAGAAGGGGAUGGAACUAUCCAGAAGUAGGUGGCCAUUGUACUGCCUUCUGGAGAUGAAGAGAGAUACGCGUGCUGUGUGCAGCAUGAGGGGCUGCCUGAGCCCAUUACCAUGAGAUGGGGGUUGGGGGAUGAGGAGUGGAGCCCUAUAUCAGGGGUCUAGGAGCCUUCAAGAGACUCUCAGCAGAGUCAGGGCACAGGGGCACCACUAACUUUUCCUUUUUACCUCUGAUCCUUUUGCCCAGCUCACCAUGCUCACCAUGCUCACCUAGGUGGCAUUUGCUGCCCAGGUUCUUCCUGAUGCUCUCAUC